This is a non-coding RNA of Paramormyrops kingsleyae, 2881 nucleotides long. Lineage: Eukaryota; Metazoa; Chordata; Actinopteri; Osteoglossiformes; Mormyridae. The record is from RefSeq and is a predicted model, not a curated record.
CUCUCCUCUCUCCCUGCCAUACGCCCAGUAUCCCACUCAUUUUGUCACCACCGAAGAAAAGAAAAUGAAUGCCUGGUGGGGAGCAGAGGCAAACAGGCAAAAAAGAGGCAAGGAGAGAAAGCUGACCAAGUACAUUACAUCUCAGGAAUAGGCAUCUGCUGCACUGCCAUCUGUGUUCAUGACUUUGCGUUGUCCCAGUCUUGAACAGCAAGCUCCUCUUGUACUUGUCUGUCCCUAAUGGAUUAGCAGAAAAGGGGAGGACCAAACAGAAAUAAAGGCACAGACCUCAGAGUACAGAAAAAGCUCUGAGAAGUAUUGGGUUGAAGAGAAGCAACCCUUCCUGUAGCUAAGACACAGAAGAAAGGGCAAGCUUAGGGUGGAGUAUAUAAUGGAAGAUGUCAGGAACAAACAGAACAGAAAACAAUGGCUGAUGACUUGGAGAAGCAACCCUGGGAAGCAGAGGGCUUUCUGUGACCAAGGUAGGUAGUGUAGGCAAUUGGAUGCCAAAAGGUAGAUAGGACAUGCCACAAUUUACCUUUGCCUGCUUCUGUGGCCUCCACGGCUUCUGUCGGAUGAAACACAAGAAAAAGGAGGAAGAGCAGCGAAAGGACCAGGAAACCGCUGUUUGAUCAGGGUAGGCGGGAACCUACUCCAUAUCCUCUGGUGUAGAGCAAUCUUCAACAUGAUCUUACAUGACAAUAGGAGCACUCAUGGCUGCACUUUCUGUGGCUGGCCCUUGGAGAAGUGAAUCAGCUGUUACUCUGUAUAUGAACAGCCAUGUCUCAGUGUUUCAUAUGUACUUGUGCAAUCUCUCUCUGACACAUUUCACACUUGCAAAAAAUAAAUGAGUUCCUCAGUCCUUUGCCAGUAGGCCACACUCUGUUUCAUGACAUCCAAGCAAUUCGCUGAGUAAUGUAAUAAAACCAUGUAAUGUAGAAGUAUGCAAUUCCAGUCCAUGAUAGUUUGAGGUUUUAACUUACAAUGUAUUUCCAUAGGAUUUACUGCUCAAAUAAUAACUCAAAUACUAUAUUUAAGAAAUUAGAUUAGUCAAUUUAGUUCAAUUAGAGUUCUUGAAAUAAGUUAUUUCUAUGAUUUGUCCCUUAGUGAAAUUCCUACCAGUCCAGUGCUAUACAUACUGUAUAGGCUUCACUUCAUAAGGUAGUUUGAGUUCAUAUUUUCAAAAACUGUAGCUCUUGAGAGAGAAUAAUAGUCACUACCUUUAAAUAUUAACAAAAGCCGUUACUGUAGUUUCUUAAAAAUUUACAAGUCUAUUUCUGUCUGUUUUUUCGUGAAAAGUUAGUGAACAACUAAGUUAGUGUGUUCUGGGGCUUGGAUACACAUCACGAUCCUACUUUCACAGACUUAAAGUUAAACCCUAAAGCACCCAACCUCCGGGGUGUGUAUUUGUGCACAUGAGCGUGAACAAACAUUUACUGAGAAAACAUGUUUAUUAAAAUAACUAAGGUUGUAUUCUGUCAAAGUUUUAAAAAAAUAAGGACCAGUGGUUAAACGGGGCGUUUUAGUCACUCUGUAGUCUCACUGCAUAGUGGAUGACCGCUGACACUGUUGAAUUUGGACUAUGUUUCAUUAACUAUCAAGCAGGCUGCAGGUCAGUUACCAUUGUCAACUUAACAUGCUACUCCAGCAAGCAUCUCAAACCGAGCUUGUGGAUGAUGUAAGCAGGGGCCGUGGGGACACCUUGUAGGAUGUCUGACAUUUACUGAAGAAUGUCUUUAUUAAAAUAACUAAGGCAUUAUUCUUUAAAGUUUUUAAUGUGUAUUUGAUGCAUGAUGCUAAAUGCAGCUUACUAGUACCUAUUAAAUGUAAUUAAAUAAUCAUGUCCACCUUCUUUAAAAUAACAAAAAUAUAUCCUAAAUUCUUACCCCCUUGCCUGAUUCCACAGUUCCUACCCCCACUAAUGUGUCAUCCAAAGCACACUAAUGCCUGCCUGGUUGAUCAUUUCUAGCCGCUAUUUAGGUUCUUCCUAUUCUGUUAAAGUUUUAAAAAAUAUGUUUUUGAUGCUUGUUGCUAAAUGCUGCUUACUAGUUCCUAUCCGAGCCUAUUCCCCAGAGACAGUGGGCAAGGCUGGGAACAAUCUCCUGACAUAAUCAUGUUGCGAGAAUAUGUUCCCCCAAGCCCAAUGCUUGCACUGUCUCGCUAGCUUGCGCUGUGACCAUGUAGGGUUUAGCUGUGUUAAGUUGAUCGGUAGAGGUUCCAGUGGGCUCGGUCGAACUCCUUGCAGGUACUGUUUGUGUGAAGUCUGCAGAAAUAAGGAGCGUAGGGCAGGUUGCUAGGUUCUGUAAUACCAUCUUGUUUAGGAGCACCUACUGUUGUCUGUUUCACAGACAUUAAGUUAUCAAAUUCUAAUUCUAAAGGCCAGUCCUUGGGUGUGUGCUUAUGUGCAUGUCCGGGGCUUUGCUGUGUGUGUGUGUGUGUGUCUGUGCGUGUGUGUGCAUGAGUGUGAACAAAUAUUUACUGAAAAAGCGUGUUUAUUAAAAUAACUAAGGCAUUAUUCUGUUAAGUUUUUAAAAAAUGUUUUUGAUGCCUGUUGCUAAAUACCUCUCACUAGUUCCUACAGUUAUUAAAUGUAAUUAAAUAAACCAGUCCAUCCUAUUUAAUAGAAAUUGACAAAAUACAACUAAACAGAUUUAUUUCUUUAAUCUUAUUUGUUAAAAAAAAUAUAUACUAAUUUGUCAUACACCAUUUAAGUUAUAGUGCUCUAUCCGGUGAUUAUCCAAAUACCUUUCUGCUAUUUUUUGUUAUAUUCAGGCCCUGUAUUUCUAAUUAAAUUUAGUGGGUGUCCGGGCCUAUCCCAGAGACUGUGGGAAAGGCCGGGAACAAGCCAGAGUUGUGGUGUUUUACUUUAAUUAGAAAUACAGUG